CCUACGGGUGGCAGCAGUGAGGAAUAUUGGUCAAUGGCCGUAAGGCUGAACCAGCCAAGUCGCGUGAAGGAAGAAGGAUCUAUGGUUUGUAAACUUCUUUUAUAGGGGAAUAAAGGUAUCCACGUGUGGAUAUUUGCAUGUUCCCUAUGAAUAAGCAUCGGCUAACUCCGGGCCAGGAGCCGCGGGAAUAAGGAGGGUGCGAGCGUUUUCCGGAUUUAUUGGGUUUAAAGGGGGCGGAGGUCGGUUGUUAAGUCAGUGGUGAAAGUUUGGGGCUCAACCACAAACUUGCCGUUGAAACUGGAAGACUUGAGUGUGUUUGAGGUAGGCGGAAUGCGUGGUGUAGCGGUGAAAUGCAUAGAUAUCACGCAGAACUCCGAUUGCGAAGGCAGCUUACUAAGCCAUAACUGACACUGAAGCACGAAAGCGUGGGGAUCGAACAGGAUUAGAUACCCGAGUAGUC
This 460-nucleotide ribosomal RNA is filed under the name uncultured bacterium. RNAcentral describes it as "partial 16S ribosomal RNA". It matches the Rfam family "Bacterial small subunit ribosomal RNA", at positions 338 to 795 of the family's 1533-position model. The record is from RNAcentral.